Molecule: non-coding RNA, 216 nt
Filed under: Halanaerobium saccharolyticum
Lineage: Bacteria; Bacillati; Bacillota; Clostridia; Halanaerobiales; Halanaerobiaceae
Description: T-box sequence
Rfam family: T-box leader
About the family: Uncharged tRNA acts as the effector for transcription antitermination of genes in the T-box leader family. T-boxes are found upstream of many aminoacyl-tRNA synthetase genes and some amino acid biosynthetic genes usually in Gram-positive bacteria. The anticodon of a specific tRNA base pairs to a specifier sequence within the T-box motif, and the NCCA acceptor tail of the tRNA base pairs to a conserved bulge in the T-box antiterminator hairpin.
Source: RNAcentral
GAAAAUCCUAAGAAAGGAAAAGUAAAUUUAAAAUUAGCCUCAGCAAACUGGAGUAGCUGUGAGUCCAGAGCUAAGAUUAAAUUGAAGCGCAUCCUGGAGGAGCUUUACUAAAAUUAUGAUUUGUCAUAUUAGGUAAAGACAUUUAAGCUGUGUUAAAGCGUUGAGUGGACUUUUGUCAAAAAAGAGUGGUACCACGGGUUAUAUCUCGUCUCUAAU